Molecule: ribosomal RNA, 821 nt
Filed under: uncultured bacterium
Lineage: Bacteria
Description: bacterial SSU rRNA
Rfam family: Bacterial small subunit ribosomal RNA
Source: RNAcentral
UGCGUAGAGAUCUGAAGGAAUACCGGUGGCGAAGGCGGCCCCCUGGACAAAGACUGACGCUCAGAUGCGAAAGCGUGGGUAGCAAACAGGAUUAGAUACCCUGGUAGUCCACGCUGUAAACGAUGUCUACUUGGAGGUUGUUGUCUUGAAUGAUGGCUUCGGAGCUAACGCGUUAAGUAGACCGCCUGGGGAGUACGGUCGCAAGAUUAAAACUCAAAUGAAUUGACGGGGGCCCGCACAAGCGGUGGAGCAUGUGGUUUAAUUCGAUGCAACGCGAAGAACCUUACCUACUCUUGACAUCCAGAGAAGCCAGCAGAGAUGCAGGUGUGCCUUCGGGAGCUCUGAGACAGGUGCUGCAUGGCUGUCGUCAGCUCGUGUUGUGAAAUGUUGGGUUAAGUCCCGCAACGAGCGCAACCCUUAUCCUUGUUUGCCAGCACGUAAUGGUGGGAACUCCAGGGAGACUGCCGGUGAUAAACCGGAGGAAGGUGGGGACGACGUCAAGUCAUCAUGGCCCUUACGAGUAGGGCUACACACGUGCUACAAUGGCGUAUACAGAGUGCAGCGAGACCGCGAGGUGUAGCGAAUCACACAAAGUACGUCGUAGUCCGGAUUGGAGUCUGCAACUCGACUCCAUGAAGUCGGAAUCGCUAGUAAUCGUGGAUCAGAAUGCCACGGUGAAUACGUUCCCGGGCCUUGUACACACCGCCCGUCACACCAUGGGAGUGGGUUGCUCCAGAAGUAGAUAGCUUAACCUUCGGGAGGGCGUUUACCACGGAGUGAUCCAUGACUGGGGUGAAGUCGUAACAAGGUAGCCGUAGAUC